AACGCACCUUGCACCCUCUGGUAUUCCGGAGGGUAUGCCUGUCUGAGUGUCAUGUAGACUCAACCUUUCGGGUUCUGCCCGGCUGGUUGGAUUUGGGUGUUGCCUAUUGCUGGCUCGCCUUAAAUGCAUUAGCGACGUGAAGGGUUUAUCCUGGCGUAAUACGUUUCGUCAGUCUGGACUCUGAGCUGCGCUCAUAAAGACCAACUAUAUUGUAACUCUGGCCUCAGAUCAGGUAGGACUACCCGCUGAACUUAA
RNAcentral lists this unclassified non-coding RNA (255 nucleotides) under Auriculariales sp. RNAcentral describes it as "partial contains 5.8S ribosomal RNA, internal transcribed spacer 2, and large subunit ribosomal RNA". The stretch from base 1 to 52 matches the Rfam family "5.8S ribosomal RNA", at positions 103 to 154 of the family's 154-position model. RNAcentral also lists the same sequence under 1 other name. The record is from RNAcentral. Lineage: Eukaryota; Fungi; Basidiomycota; Agaricomycetes; Auriculariales.